AUAGCAACAGCAGCGUAGCUGAACAUCUUACGGAUGGCCCAGGGCUCCAAAGGCUCGUUUCCUAAGUGAGAGAGAGCCUGGCUGAAGCUGUAUUACCAUUCAUUCUCCAGCCUCCGAAGUCUCAAAGCAUCACUUCCACCAUACUCUAACUGUCAAGACAAACACAAAGGCCCAGAGAAGGGGUCUCACUAUGUUGUCUGGAGUGCUGUGGUGGAGUGGAGUGGCUAUUCACAGGAUUCUUGGAAUGGACUGUAAAAGUCUGGAAUCAAGACUUUGUGUUUCCUCUCUAACAUGUAAAGAGCUUAGAAGUUGUCGCUAUUGCCCUUACAACAAAAUGAAGCUGGACAAACUGAAAAUCAAUGACUUUUCUUGGACUCACUAUACAGCUGAGUUUGCAGAGUAAACCACUACCCUGAAAUCUGGAAAGGCAGGUGCACCCACAGAUCCUCAGCUGAGAUCCAAUUACCUGAAAUAGAAGCUGCCAUUAGGAACACUUAAAAGAGCCUGUUCUGCUGGGACACAGAAUCACUUGCUCCAUCUCAUACAUUGAUGAUGAUUAAUUUGUAUGUGUACCUUCCAAAAAAGAUGGUUGUGUUUGAAUGGAGGCCUUCUGGACAGGAAAAUUGCAAAGUACAAUUAACAUUUGAGUCUGUCUGAGUCAUGAAGAAAUGGAGAUUACUGAAAAUAAUUCAUUUUGGUAUCUUCUUACAUCCUGAGAGACUAAUCUUUCCAAGUUCAUCUGAGGCUCCUCUUCUCCAUGACAACCUCAUCCAGGGAUUUCUUCCUGUCCUGGUGUUUUAUGACAUAAUCACAUCCUUCCUGAGAUAAUGAGCACACAAUUGCCUGGAUACCUGAAGGAAUGGAGACAGCGGCAGAAAACACUGCAGAGAGGUGGAAACAUCCGUUAAUAUUUUAAAAUCCCAUUACUGCUACCAACAAUAAUAAUGGAUGCAUAGAAAUAGAUCUGGAUUAGCUGAGCUUGAAACAGUCCAUCUCACACACACACAAAAGAAUUUCAGAUACAGUGAACCCACAUGUUGAAGCUUUCUAGUAUAAUAAAAAUUUCAACUGUUCUGUUGAAUCAUCUGCCUGAUUGGAGGCUACAGAAAAGAUGUCAUCUUAGGAGUGCUUGCUCUGAGUGAGGCUCAUCUUCAAAUCUGAAUGACCACAAGGAGAUUUGAUUAUACAUGUGAACACCUCAGAAGGCACAGCCCACCCAGAAGGCAGACAGGUCAGGCUGCUUUUUCUUCAUUGCUUGGAUUCAAUCCUCCGGGCGGCUCAGGCUCAAACAUAACUUAAGCAUGAUUAAACUUUAGAAGAAGCUGCCAGGAAGACUGUGAAAUCUUCAUGCCCAAGGAUCCCUAAAAUUAGGAGCAACAACCACUUGGCUCAGACGGUUUAUGGAGGCAAAGGUUUGGAUGGGAUUAGAGAUUUCUAAAUGUGAGUUCGUGUCCUCUGCCAGACCACCUUACUUCCACCAUUCCUCAGCAAAUCAAGAAAAACAGGAGAAAAGACAUGCCUUUCCAUAAGUUAAAUCUAUUCUGUUUUAAUUCUAUAUUAUAUCUGCUGUACAACUUCUUUUGUUUGUAACACCAUAUUGUUGCUAGUAACUGGAAAUUAAUUUUCACAUGCCUCAGCUUAGAAAAAUAAAAAGCAGCCCUGCAUCAAUCCCAA
This 1674-nucleotide long non-coding RNA is filed under the name Homo sapiens (human). Its description in RNAcentral is "long intergenic non-protein coding RNA 635". Lineage: Eukaryota; Metazoa; Chordata; Mammalia; Primates; Hominidae. The record is from RNAcentral.